AGACGUAGGAGGCGAGCGUUAUCCGGAUUCAUUGGGCGUAAAGGGCAAGUAGGCGGUGCCCAAAGUUGGGCGUGACAUCUCCCGGCUCAACUGGGAGGGAGCGUUCAAAACUGGGGGACUAGAGGGCAGGAGAGGGAAGUGGAAUUCCCAGUGUAGCGGUGGAAUGCUCAGAUAUUGGGAAGAACACCAGUGGCGAAGGCGGCUUCCUGGCCUGCACCUGACGCUGAGAGGCGAAAGCUAGGGGAGCGAACGGGCUUAGAUACCCCGGUAGUCCUAGCUGUAAACGUUGGAUACUAGGUAUUGGAGGAGGAGAGUCCUUCAGUGCCGCAGCAAACGCGUUAAGUAUCCCGCCUGGGGACUACGGCCGCAAGGUUAAA
Molecule: ribosomal RNA, 377 nt
Filed under: uncultured bacterium
Lineage: Bacteria
Description: bacterial SSU rRNA
Rfam family: Bacterial small subunit ribosomal RNA
Source: RNAcentral